ACUGUUUGUGUGAGAGCCUGAGAAAGAGCCGAAGAAGAAUUAAGAAUUUGUUUGGUUAUAAAGAGAGAGAGAGAGAGAGAUAAUGCAGAUCUCUAUCCCCUUUUUUUAAUGAUAGUGCAGUCUUUGCUUUGCUUUUUGUCGUGGUUGCUUGAGUUCAUUUCAUUUGAGGGAAGCCAUGAAAUCCAAAAUGGAAGAACUUCGUGUUGUGGGUUAGGGUUCCCUUCGUUAUCCCAGCGGAGAAUUGCCGAAUAAGGUCUGGUGGAUCUUUCUCUAGCUGAAAAGCUGUUAUGGCUACACUUCUUGACAUUGGUGUUUCAGCAGCUAUAAACAUAUUGUCUGCAUUUGCGUUCCUGCUGGCAUUUGCAAUACUGAGACUGCAGCCAUUUAAUGACAGGGUUUACUUCCCUAAAUGGUAUCUUAAAGGACUUAGAAGCAGUCCUUCAAGUAAAGGUGCAUUUGUCCGGAAGUUUGUCAAUCUUGACUACACAUCAUAUCUGAGGAUUUUUGCUUGGAUCCCUGCUGCCCUCAAAAUGCCUGAACCCGAGCUGAUUGAACAUGCGGGAUUAGAUUCUGCUGUUUAUUUACGGAUUUACCUUUUGGGGCUUAAAAUAUUUGUUCCUAUUGCUUUCUUGGGAUUUGCAAUUUUGGUACCUGUGAACUACACAAAUGAUACUCUUGAGACGAUGAAGGUGGAGUACAGCGAUAUAGACAAGCUUUCUAUAUCAAAUAUUCCUAAUAGAUCCGACAGGUUUUGGACCCACCUGGUGAUGGCAUAUGGAUUUACAUUUUGGACUUGCUAUGUGUUAUUAAAAGAAUAUGAGAACGUGACAUUAAUGAGGUUGCAUUUCCUUGCAUCAGAGAUACGCCGUCCUGAUCAGUUCACUGUCCUUGUCAGGAAUGUGCCACCUGAUCCCGAUGAAUCUAUUAGUGAACUCGUGGAACACUUUUUUCUCGUCAAUCAUCCUCACUAUUUAACACAUCAGAUUGUCUAUGGUGCCAACGAACUUUCUAAGAUUGUUAAAAAGAAAAAGAACAUGAAGAACUGGUUGGACUUCUAUCAGUUGAGAUAUGAAAGAAAACCAUCUAGAAGACCAACCCGUAAGACUGGUUUUCUUGGUCUGUGUGGCAAGAAGGUGGAUGCAAUUGAAUAUUACACGUCAGAGAUUGCUAAGCUAUCCAAUGAAGAGGUGGAAGAACGGGACAGGAUUUUGAAACAAAAAUCCAUUAUUCCUGCUGCAUUUGUUUCAUUUAGGACACGAUGGGGAGCAGCAGUGUGUGCUCAAACUCAACAAACUAGAAACCCAACAGCUUGGUUGGCUGAGUGGGCUCCAGAACCACGUGAUGUUUACUGGAAUAACCUAGCCACCCCUUUUGUCCAACUUACCAUUAGAAGGCUGAUAGUGGCAGUUGCAUUAUUCUUUCUGAUAUUCUUCUUCAUGAUCCCUAUAGCUUUUGUGCAAUCUCUUGCAAACAUAGAAGGCAUCGAAAAGGCUGUUCCAUUUUUAAAGCCCUUAAUUGAGAGGAAAUUAAUUAAAUCAUUCAUCCAAGGCUUCCUUCCAGGUAUUGCACUAAAGAUUUUUCUUAUCCUGCUGCCAACAAUAUUGAUGCUGAUGUCCAAGUUUGAAGGAUUUGUGGCAUUAUCAAUCCUUGAGCGAAAAGCAGCAUCGAAAUAUUAUUUCUUCUUACUUGUAAAUGUAUUCCUGGGGAACAUAAUUGCUGGAGCUGCAUUCCAGCAACUCAAAACUUUCAUUCACCAGUCAGUUAAUGACUUUCCAAGGAUUAUUGGUGUUGCAAUUCCAAUGAAAGCAUCAUUUUUCAUAACUUUUGUCAUGGUUGAUGGCUGGGCUGGCGUUGCUGGUGAGAUACUAAGAUUUAAACCUCUGAUAAUCUAUCACCUGAGAAACUUCUUUCUUGUAAAAACUGAUAAGGAUAGAGAAGAAGCAAUGGACCCUGGUAGUUUUGAUUUUGGAUCAUCUGAACCUCAGCUGCAGCUAUAUUUUCUUCUUGGUCUUGCCUAUGCUGUGGUCACACCGUUCUUGCUUCCCUACAUAAUAAUAUUUUUUGGCCUGGCUUAUAUUGUAUAUCGUCAUCAGGUAAUAAAUGUUUAUAAUCAAGAAUAUGAAAGUGCAGGAGCGUUCUGGCCGGAUGUCCAUGACCGCAUAAUCUCUGCGCUGAUCAUUUCACAAGUUCUUCUUUUUGGUCUGUUGAGCACCAAAGAGGCUGCUGAUUCAACGCCUUUCCUCAUUGCUCUUCCUAUUCUGACGAUCUGGUUUCAUAAAUUUUGUAAGAGCCGCUAUCAGCCAGCUUUCAAAAAGUACCCACUACAGGAAGCCAUGAUGAAAGAUACCUUGGAACGUGCCAAGGAACCAAACCUGGACUUAAAAAAUUAUCUUCUAAGCGCAUACAUCCACCCAGUAUUCAAGGAAGUGGAGGAAGAUGACAGCUUUUCUUGUGUUGACAAGGAUGGAGAGUUUGAGAAUGUGCUGGUGCCUACCAAGAGGUCGUCUCGCAGGAACACACCAGCUCCCAGCAAACACAAUGGGUCAGCAUCGCCUUCUCUUUCAGAAAUUGGUCGAGAGCAGCAGUUGUUAAUUGGUUAAUCUCUGUAUAGUUGUGUUCGCAUGUACAUUAGUCCUACUUACAACAUUGCUUCAUUUGAGAGGCCUAGCAAGCGUAAAUCUACUGCUGGAGGGAUAGUUGUAGAUUUCUAUGAUUUUAUCUAGAUGUACUAUUAGAAGUCUUAGUUUGCUUAUUGUGCUGCACAUUGAUGUAUGAUAGGAGAUAUGACCAUGAAAUGCUGCUGGACAUUUUUGUUUUGAUGAGUUUUUAGUGCCUGUCAAUCUGUUAGAUGAUGUAAUAUUAACGAUCAUAAUGAAUAUGUUUAGUGAGUUUGUUCUGCUACUGAAUUUUCAUA
Phalaenopsis equestris is the source of this 2914-nucleotide RNA transcript. It is a transcript of the gene named calcium permeable stress-gated cation channel 1-like, with no coding region annotated. The record is from RefSeq and is a predicted model, not a curated record. NCBI's taxonomy places the organism in Eukaryota, Viridiplantae, Streptophyta, Magnoliopsida, Asparagales, Orchidaceae. The transcript has 13 exons.